Molecule: ribosomal RNA, 393 nt
Filed under: uncultured bacterium
Lineage: Bacteria
Description: partial 16S ribosomal RNA
Rfam family: Bacterial small subunit ribosomal RNA
Source: RNAcentral
AUACGGAGGAUCCGAGCGUUAUCCAGAUUUAUUGGGUUUAAAGGGUGCGCAGGCGGGAGAUUAAGUCGGCGGUGAAAUUUUGCAGCUCAACUGUAAAAGUGCCUUCGAAACUGGUUUCCUUGAGUGUAGAUGAAGUAGGCGGAAUUUGUGGGGUAGCGGUGAAAUGCAUAGAUAUCACGAGGAACUCCGAUUGCGCAGGCAGCUUACUAAACUACUACUGACGCUCAGGCACGAAGGCGUGGGGAUCAAACAGGAUUAGAUACCCUGGUAGUCCACGCAGUAAACGAUGAUUACUAGCUGUUUGCGAUACAAUGUAAGCGGCUGAGCGAAAGCGUUAAGUAAUCCACCUGGGGAGUACGUUCGCAAGAAUGAAACUCAAAGGAAUUGACGGGG